GAUCAUGGCUCAGGAUGAACGCUGGCGGCGUGCUUAACACAUGCAAGUCGAACGGACGAUGAAAAAGCUUGCUUUUCAAAGUUAGUGGCGGACGGGUGAGUAACGCGUGGGUAACCUGCCUCAUACAGGGAGAUAGCAGCUGGAAACGGCUGAUAAAACCGACAUAAGCGCACAGCAUCGCAUGAUGCAGUGUGAAAAACUACCGGUGGUAGUGAGAUGGACCCGCGU
This 228-nucleotide ribosomal RNA is filed under the name uncultured bacterium. Its description in RNAcentral is "partial 16S ribosomal RNA". It matches the Rfam family "Bacterial small subunit ribosomal RNA", at positions 15 to 236 of the family's 1533-position model. The record is from RNAcentral.